UACGAAGGGGGCUAGCGUUGCUCGGAAUCACUGGGCGUAAAGCGCACGUAGGCGGGUUGUUAAGUCAGGGGUGAAAUCCUGGAGCUCAACUCCAGAACUGCCUUUGAUACUGGCGACCUUGAGUCCGGGAGAGGUGAGUGGAACUGCGAGUGUAGAGGUGAAAUUCGUAGAUAUUCGCAAGAACACCAGUGGCGAAGGCGGCUCACUGGCCCGGUACUGACGCUGAGGUGCGAAAGCGUGGGGAGCAAACAGG
RNAcentral lists this ribosomal RNA (253 nucleotides) under uncultured bacterium. RNAcentral's name for it is "partial 16S ribosomal RNA". It matches the Rfam family "Bacterial small subunit ribosomal RNA", at positions 524 to 776 of the family's 1533-position model. The record is from RNAcentral.